GUCGAGGGGCAGCGGGAAGGUUAGCUUGCUAAUCUUUGCCGGCGACCGGCGCACGGGUGAGUAACACGUAUGCAACCUGUCCGGUACAGGGGGAUAAGCGGCGGAAACGCCGUCUAAUACCGCGUGACAACCCGAGGGGGCAUCCCCUUGGGUUCAAAGGAGAGAUCCGGUACCGGCUGGGCAUGCGGCACAUUAGCUAGUUGGCGGGGCAACGGCCCACCAAGGCGACGAUGCGUAGGGGUUCUGAGAGGAAGGUCCCCCACACUGGAACUGAGACACGGUCCAGACUCCUACGGGAGGCAGCAGUGAGGAAUAUUGGUCAAUGGGCGCAAGCCUGAACCAGCCAAGUCGCGUGAGGGAAGACGGCCCUACGGGUUGUAAACCUCUUUUGCCGGGGAGCAAGCCUGAGCACGUGUGCCCAGGCGGAGAAUACCCGGAGAGAAAGCAUCGGCUAACUCCGUGCCAGCAGCCGCGGUAAUACGGAGGAUGCGAGCGUUAUCCGGAUUUAUUGGGUUUAAAGGGUGCGCAGGCGGGCUGUUAAGCCGGCGGUAAAAAUUCAGGGCUCAACCCUGUCGAGCCGUCGGAACUGGCAGUCUUGAGUGGGCGAGAAGUAUGCGGAAUGCGUGGUGUAGCGGUGAAAUGCAUAGAUAUCACGCAGAACGCC
Molecule: ribosomal RNA, 664 nt
Filed under: uncultured bacterium
Lineage: Bacteria
Description: bacterial SSU rRNA
Rfam family: Bacterial small subunit ribosomal RNA
Source: RNAcentral